AGUGAACGCUGGCGGUAGGCCUAACACAUGCAAGUCGAACGGCAGCACAGUAAGAGCUUGCUCUUACGGGUGGCGAGUGGCGGACGGGUGAGGAAUACAUCGGAAUCUACUUUUUCGUGGGGGAUAACGUAGGGAAACUUACGCUAAUACCGCAUACGACCUACGGGUGAAAGCAGGGGAUCUUCGGACCUUGCGCGAUUGAAUGAGCCGAUGUCGGAUUAGCUAGUUGGCGGGGUAAAGGCCCACCAAGGCGACGAUCCGUAGCUGGUCUGAGAGGAUGAUCAGCCACACUGGAACUGAGACACGGUCCAGACUCCUACGGGAGGCAGCAGUGGGGAAUAUUGGACAAUGGGCGAAAGCCUGAUCCAGCCAUACCGCGUGGGUGAAGAAGGCCUUCGGGUUGUAAAGCCCUUUUGUUGGGAAAGAAAAGAAGCAGGUUAAUACCCCGAUGUUCUGACGGUACCCAAAGAAUAAGCACCGGCUAACUUCGUG
Molecule: ribosomal RNA, 492 nt
Filed under: uncultured bacterium
Lineage: Bacteria
Description: partial 16S ribosomal RNA
Rfam family: Bacterial small subunit ribosomal RNA
Source: RNAcentral